RNAcentral lists this non-coding RNA (21 nucleotides) under Caenorhabditis elegans. Lineage: Eukaryota; Metazoa; Nematoda; Chromadorea; Rhabditida; Rhabditidae. The record is from RNAcentral.
UAUUACCCACAAAAAAAAAUU